Molecule: long non-coding RNA, 539 nt
Organism: Tupaia belangeri chinensis (Chinese tree shrew)
Lineage: Eukaryota; Metazoa; Chordata; Mammalia; Scandentia; Tupaiidae
Exons: 4
Source: RefSeq, a predicted model, not a curated record
ACUGCACAGCGCCCCGGCUCCUCCCUCUCUCUGGGCUUCUGAACCAUCACAAGGGCAUGAAUACUAGCAGGAGAGAAAACACUGAACCUCUAAAAGAAAUGAUGACUUGCUCGAGGUUGUGGGGAUCACAGUGGAGUCUUGGACUGGCAUUCAGAUCUCCUGGAUCAUAGGGAAUGGCUCCUGGCAGUUACGUGGACCCACGGCAUCACAAGAGCAACUAUUUACUGGGCACCUGUUAUAGCCACUGGAAACAUGAUCACGGAUGGAAAAGACAAAAUUCCUGCCCUCAGGAAGCUAUGCUUUCAUCAGUGUGGCCACGGUAGACAGUAGAGAGGCACAGAGGACUGUGAGUAUUUGUGUGGAGAAGGCCUUAUUGAGCAGAUGGCAUUUGAGCAAAGACUUGAAGGAGGUGAGAAGGUGGGCCUAACGUCAUCGGCAGGAAGACCACUGCAGGCAGAGGGAACAGCAUGCUGGAGUGGAAGGACCUUAAACACGGAGACAAGGACACGGCAGUAAAGGAUGAUGUGGCCGAACCCCCC